Long non-coding RNA from Octodon degus (degu), 1066 nucleotides. RefSeq lists it as uncharacterized. NCBI's taxonomy places the organism in Eukaryota, Metazoa, Chordata, Mammalia, Rodentia, Octodontidae. The transcript is spliced from 2 exons. The record is from RefSeq and is a predicted model, not a curated record.
CCAAGUAGAUCGCAGCCUCAUAUAGCAUAUUUAUUCUUCUAUGCCUUAUUUAGAAGAAGUAGGUCUUGGGCAGGUGACAUGUAUAUCGGUUCCAAUAUGAUAGAGCCCUUCUAAGUUUAGUGCUCUAGAGAUUGACAUCAUGUAUUUGUGUUGAUGCUCUCAGUGAUACAGCUCUGAGUCUGCUGUCUGCUCAGUCAUCAGGUGUACACAGUAAGUGCUGGCAAAUAGCAACUAGGUCCGGGGUGUGGGAUAGGAGUUAGCAUGUGCUGGUUUCUGUUAUAUGCAUACUCCUACUGUAUCUCAUUUCAAGCCACCAGUACAAAGUCACUGAUGAGAGAGUUGGAGUGAAAUAUACAGUGUCAGCUCUCAGUAGUGAGAUCUAGCUCUCUCCAGCACGUACUGCACUGACUACAAUAGAAUCUUUGCUUUUUCCCAGCUAUCUAAAUGGGGGACAGACAAUAUCACAGGCAUUCCGGAUGCUGUUCAUCAUUAUACGGGAGAAGUAAGCAGAUGGGCUAUGAAAAUAGGAAGUUCUAACCCUAGAGGGUCAAGCCAUGUUACUUUACUUAUCCAGAGUAGCUUUUAGAGCUUUGAGCACAGAGCCUUGAGACUCGACCAGCUGAUGGCCUGCCUAUGACACCCAUAGCCAUAGCAGAUGUGAGAGCCUCUAGUGAAUCAUUUGUCUCUGAGGAACGGUCUUCAAAAUAUGUGAGGAUAUUUAUGUAAGGUUCUAAGACAUCUUCUUAUCACCCUGCAAGACGCUGCUGUCCACCAGUGAGUAGAGGAGGUUAUUUAGGGUCACAGUUUGUUCUUGAUCCCUGUCUUUUGAACUGGUGAAUUCAAAAUCAAUACCAGCUCUGUCCUGAUGAGCACUGUAGAGUCAGGCUUUACAGAGGGCUUCUUGGCCUCCUGCUGCUGGUCUGAAGGCUGCUGGGCUUGCCUCCCAUGGUUAGUCCCCAUGUGGUCUCUUUGAAUCUGUGGGAGGCUGUCAUGUUUCUUUGGUUUCUACUACAAGUCUGUGAUCCAGGAAUUCCCCCCAAAGAAAUAGCUUUAUAAAAGGUAUGUA